This is a long non-coding RNA of Ictalurus furcatus (blue catfish), 1262 nucleotides long. RefSeq lists it as uncharacterized. NCBI's taxonomy places the organism in Eukaryota, Metazoa, Chordata, Actinopteri, Siluriformes, Ictaluridae. The record is from RefSeq and is a predicted model, not a curated record. The transcript is spliced from 3 exons.
UUCCUGUUCGUUCUGGAUCUCCUGCUAAAGACACCAGAUUCUCUCUGUACGACGACACAACAGCCAAAGUCUUCACCGUCACAAUCACUGAUCUGAGAACAGAGGAUGGAAACACUUACUGGUGUGGAAUAGAGCGGACAGGGCCUGAUAUUUACACAGAGCUUCUACUGCUGGUUAAAACGGCUAAUCCACUAAAUGAUGCUAACCAUCCAACCAUCGCUCCCUCACCUCAGGGUAUAAAUAAGUACAUCAUGAUCAGUACAGGUGUAGUGUUGUUGGCUGUUGGUGUGAUUAUAGCAAUCUACUGCAAAAUACAUCGUCAAGGUAAAACUCACUUUAAAUGUAUGUUUAUGAUUGAUUUAUGGUGUUUUAAUCUCACCCAGAACGACUGGACACACCUGUAAAUUAAAUUAAAGUCUUUGUUAUAAUCUCAGUGCUUCAUUUAAUACAUUGGAGUACACAAAACUCGUCACUGUCCCAAUACUCAGACUGCACUGUAUAUUUACUUUAUAUUAAAUUAAUCUUUGUUGCCCUUCUCAUCUCUCUACAGGCUCUGAAACAGUGACACGAUCUUCCACAGAGGUACAGGCCAAUGAUUUGCUUCAAUGUUUUACUUUCACAAAACACUUUACUUACAAACAUUUCAAUAAUUUUUGUUUUCUAUUUCAGGCAAAUGGAGAUUAUGACAAUGACCAGAAUUUACCUCCUCUCCAAGCGAAAGAAAAAGCCAAUUUACCUGAAUCUGUCUAUCAGAGUCUAGACCUAACCACCAACCAAUCAGUCUAUCAGAGUCUGACCUUUACUAAUAACCAAUAAGAUUCAGGAUGCCACUGUUCACCAUCCAACUGGACUGAUCUUAACCCAAAGCUAACUACAACAGUGUUUAUUUCCCCCCCCCAGUUAUUCUACCUGGCCUGUGGAUUACUCAUUUUCAGUUUUUUUUUCUUCUUCUUGUUUCUAAAUUGAGUUAUUUCCUUCACCUUGCAAAUGUCAUGGUCAUCUGAUGCCAAGUCUGGAUGUAACAAUGCUGUACAUAAAAUUGUUUUUCUUUUGAACACCUUGUCAUUUGUGGUUUGUAAAAAAGUUUUGUGGUCUAAAUUAUAUUUUCUUUAAUCAUGUCUUUAACCUUUAGCCUAUUUACAAAAUGCUGUUUUGGCAUCUCCAUGGUAUUUUACUAUACAUCAACAAAAAAACAAAGAAAAGCAUAUACUGUACCUUAGUUGCACAGGUUCAAAUGAUAUCUGGAAUCUCGGACAGGUUUC